AAUGUUUUUCUUUCAGAUGUUGAGAAGAAUCUUAGUCAUAUAAGUCGGAAAAAACCCAAACAGAAAUAUUACAGAAAAAGCACAUUAGUUUUUAACCAAAUUGAUUUAAACAUAAAAUGAGAUAACAUUUGACCAAAACUCAUUUUAAUUCAACCUGUUCAAGCCAAAAGAGAUUCUCAUAAACACGCCGUGUUAAAAAGCUGAUUUGAGUGAGCAACACACACACAAACACACACACACACACACACACACACACACAGGCCCUCAUAGAUAAACUCUAAGGUCAAAGGUUUCCUGUAAAUAGAGAGGGGAGGAGCCACACUGACCAGGUGAUCCAAGCUCAUGAGAACAGGGAGGGAGCCCUGAAAGUGUUCAGUCAGUCGGCUCCGACUCCAUUUUGAGUUGACAGAGCAAAAACUGAAGACUCAGGCAGGAGAGAAGAAGACAAGUCAUGCUUCUGGGGAGGAACUGUUGUCCAGAUACAAAACACGACCUGGACCUCAGACAGCCAGUCAGACAAGAACAAGACCUGGACCUCAGACAGCCAGUCAGACCAGCACUGUACAAACACUCUGUCUUUGCAUCAACCAAUCAGAAUGAUGUUUGUUCUCCAUCUGCAUAGAUGCAGAUGGAGAACUAUUAAUCUCUGUAAAGCAACAACAUCACUGUUCUAUCCCAGACAGACAGUCACACUGAUGAAAGGGGAGUUAUUUUCUUGCCAUUGUUGUAUAUCAAUGCAUGCUCAUGGGGGAUCUCUUGUUGGGUCUCUAAAUUAUAGAGUACGGUCUAAACCUGCUCUAUAUGAAAAGCGUCUUAAGAUAACUUCUGUUAUGAUUUGACGCUAUAUAAAAAUAAAUU
This is a long non-coding RNA of Sebastes umbrosus (honeycomb rockfish), 858 nucleotides long. RefSeq lists it as uncharacterized. The transcript has 3 exons. The record is from RefSeq and is a predicted model, not a curated record. Lineage: Eukaryota; Metazoa; Chordata; Actinopteri; Perciformes; Sebastidae.